GGCCCGGUUGCGGAUGGUCCGCACUUGCACCGAAUUAUUGCCUUGUAUGGUUGUUCGAUUAUUCUGCAGGGGUUGCUUGUUCGAUUCAAGCCUGGGCCA
Mycena metata is the source of this 99-nucleotide non-coding RNA. Lineage: Eukaryota; Fungi; Basidiomycota; Agaricomycetes; Agaricales; Mycenaceae. The record is from the annotation of a GenBank genome assembly.